CCUACGGGAGACAGCAGUGAGGAAUAUUGGUCAAUGGACGAGAGUCUGAACCAGCCAAGUAGCGUGAAGGAUGACUGCCCUAUGGGUUGUAAACUUCUUUUAUAUGGGAAUAAAAUGUUACACGUGUGGGAUUUUGUAUGUACCAUAUGAAUAAGGAUCGGCUAACUCCGUGCCAGCAGCCGCGGUAAUACGGAGGAUCCGAGCGUUAUCCGGAUUUAUUGGGUUUAAAGGGAGCGUAGGUGGAUUGUUAAGUCAGUUGUGAAAGUUUGCGGCUCAACCGUAAAAUUGCAGUUGAAACUGGCAGUCUUGAGUACAGUAGAGGUGGGCGGAAUUCGUGGUGUAGCGGUGAAAUGCUUAGAUAUCACGAAGAACUCCGAUUGCGAAGGCAGUUCACUGGACUGCAACUGACACUGAGGCUCGAAAGUGUGGGUAUCAAACAGGAUUAGAUACCCUUGUAGUC
RNAcentral lists this ribosomal RNA (460 nucleotides) under uncultured bacterium. Its description in RNAcentral is "partial 16S ribosomal RNA". It matches the Rfam family "Bacterial small subunit ribosomal RNA", at positions 338 to 795 of the family's 1533-position model. The record is from RNAcentral.